AUCCCCACUUAAUUUCUGUGCAGGAUCCAGAGAAAGAUCAAACCCUGGACGAACUCAAUGUUGUCGCAGAACACUUGAUUGAUGUUAAGAAAACAGAUUGUGAUGAAUACCUGAUAAAUGUAAAUUUUACCCCUACUGUUCCACAUUGUUCCCUAGCAACACUUAUUGGUAAGCAUCAUUUACUUUAAAUCAGGCAGGAACUUAGAUAACACUAUUUCGGAAACAUCUGAAAAUCUUCGUGUUUCCUUUCAAAUCUGCGCAGACGCCCUUAUUCCAAAGAUAUAAAGCGGGGGUCUAUAGCACGUCUGCGUGCUACUACUAUUGCAACCAACUACACUUACUAUUGCAAAAAUGCAUACAAAAAUGGAUACAAGUUUAACUAAUAACUACUAUUGCAAAAAUGGAUACAAAUUUUGCUUUAGCGCUUGUCCAGGCUCCCAUUGCAUAAUGUGAAACAAACGAGAAACAUGCCUAACGGUCACAUGAACAUCAUGGGAACAGGUCUCCGUAGCCUCUUGAGCGUUGACUUUGCACUAUCCUUUGGAUCUAUCAACUCACAUACAAUUUUGCGUCAAUGGUUCACUAUAUUAAUUUUAAACGACCAUUACAUGUAUAUUGUUUUUAUAGGUUUAUGCAUUCGAGUGAAGUUAAACACAACACUAUCUUGGAAACAUAAGGUAAA
Paramuricea clavata is the source of this 682-nucleotide non-coding RNA. Lineage: Eukaryota; Metazoa; Cnidaria; Anthozoa; Malacalcyonacea; Plexauridae. The record is from the annotation of a GenBank genome assembly.